CGGGUUUGAACGUAGGGAGACAGGGGUGGAAACAUCCUUUUCAGCAAUGACUGCCUACGAGGUGCUGCAUGGUUGUCGUCAGCUCGUGCCGUGAGGUGUCGGCUUAAGUGCCAUAACGAGCGCAACCCUUAUUUCCAGUUACUAACAGGUGAUGCUGAGGACUCUGGAGAGACUGCCAGCGUAAGCUGUGAGGAAGGUGGGGAUGACGUCAAAUCAGCACGGCCCUUACAUCCGGGG
RNAcentral lists this ribosomal RNA (237 nucleotides) under uncultured bacterium. RNAcentral's name for it is "partial 16S ribosomal RNA". It matches the Rfam family "Bacterial small subunit ribosomal RNA", at positions 976 to 1213 of the family's 1533-position model. The record is from RNAcentral.